AAGUCGUAACAAGGUUUCCGUAGGUGAACCUGCGGAAGGAUCAUGUAAACGUUCUUUUCAAAAAAAAAGGUGGGCAACGAUAAAGGGGGGUGAUCAUAAGCUCCUUUUUUAUCAUUGCCACUUUUUUCAACCCAUCGCGAACUGGCAUAUUGUAGCAGAUGAGAGGUUGUGGGUUUUGUGGGCGACGGAAUAUAUUUUCCGUCGCGCAUGAAACACACACACCGCUCCUGCGCCUUUUUUCUAUUCUCAAACCCCUUUUUCAACAAAUUGAAUUAUGUCUGACAAUUUUUCUUUUGUCUAGCAUUCGUGCGACACAAAAUAAAAAUUUAUCAUUAUAUCUUAAUGCAAAAGAACAACUCUUAGCAACGGAUAUCUUGGUUCCC
Molecule: unclassified non-coding RNA, 383 nt
Filed under: fungal sp.
Lineage: Eukaryota; Fungi
Description: partial internal transcribed spacer region
Rfam family: Eukaryotic small subunit ribosomal RNA (bases 1-46)
Source: RNAcentral